RNAcentral lists this long non-coding RNA (856 nucleotides) under Numida meleagris (helmeted guineafowl). RNAcentral's name for it is "lncRNA (ENSNMEG00000004996.1)". Lineage: Eukaryota; Metazoa; Chordata; Aves; Galliformes; Numididae. The record is from RNAcentral.
AUGGGGCACUACGCGUUUCUAUGGGUCUCUGUGGGUCUCUGUGGGGCACUGUGGGUCUCUCUGUGCGGCUCUAUGGGGUCUCUAUGGGGUCUCUAUGGGGCUCUAUGGGGCGCUAUGGGGCACUUAGGGGUCACUGUAGGCUCUCUCUAUGGGUCUCUGUGGGUCUCUAUGGGGCAUUAUGGGUCUUUAUGGGUCUCUGUGGGUCUCUGUGGGGCAGCUAUGGGGCACUAUGAGUCUCUAUGGGGUCGCUAUAGGGCUCUGUGGGUCUCCAUGGGUCUCUAUGGGUCGCUAUGGGUCUCUAUGGGGCACUACUCUAUGUGUCUCUAUGGGUCUCUAUGGGUCUCUAUGGGUCUCUAUGGGGCAGCUAUGUGGCUCUAUGGGUCUCUGUGGGUCUCUAUGGGGCUCUAUGGGGUUCUAUGGGGCAGCUAUGGGUCUCUAUGGGUCUCUAUGAGGCUCUAUGGGGCGCUAUGGGGCACUGUGGGGCUCUAUGGGUCUCUAUGGGGCUCUAUGUGGCUCUAUGGGGCACCAUGGGGUUCUAUGGGGCAGCUAUGCUGCGCUAUGGGGCACUUUGGGGCUCUAUGGGUCACCUAUGAGGUUCUAUGGGGCAGCUACGGGUCUCUAUGGGUCUCUAUGGGUCUCUAUGGGAUCUCUAUGGGGCUCUAUGGGUCUCUAUGGGUCUCUAUGGGGCAGCUAUGGGUCUCUAUGGGUCUCUAUGGGGCGCUAUGGGGCUCUAUGGGGUUCUAUGGGGCACUAUGGGGCUCUAUGGGUCUCUAUGGGUCUCUGUGGGGUCUCUAUGGGGCGAUAUGGGGUCGCUAUAGGGCUCUGUGGGUCUCUAUGGGUCGCUGUGGGUCCCGCU